UGGGGAAUAUUGCACAAUGGGCGCAAGCCUGAUGCAGCCAUGCCGCGUGUAUGAAGAAGGCCUUCGGGUUGUAAAGUACUUUCAGCGGGGAGGAAUGGAGUAAAGUUAAUACCCUUGCUCAUUGACGUUACCCGCAGAAGAAGCACCGGCUAACUCCGUGCCAGCAGCCGCGGUAAUACGGAGGGUGCAAGCGUUAAUCGGAAUUACUGGGCGUAAAGCGCACGCAGACGGUUUGUUAAGUCAGAUGUGAAAUCCCCGGGCUCAACCUGGGAACUGCAUCUGAUACUGGCAAGCUUGAGUCUCGUAGAGGGGGGUAGAAUUCCAGGUGUAGCGGUGAAAUGCGUAGAGAUCUGGAGGAAUACCGGUGGCGAAGGCGGCCCCCUGGACGAAGACUGACGCUCAGGUGCGAAAGCGUGGGGAGCAAACAGG
This 429-nucleotide ribosomal RNA is filed under the name Chloroflexota bacterium. RNAcentral describes it as "Chloroflexi bacterium partial 16S ribosomal RNA". It matches the Rfam family "Bacterial small subunit ribosomal RNA", at positions 355 to 776 of the family's 1533-position model. Lineage: Bacteria; Bacillati; Chloroflexota. The record is from RNAcentral.